GUUGCAUUUGAUAAUCAUUAGUUAUUUUAAUGUUUUGUCAUUUAGUCUGAAUCUCUCUUGUCUGAACACUUUAACAGCAAUUCUAAAUAGUCUUUCGCCAGGAGCUAAUGUUGCAGAUAUUGCUUGAUCAGAACAUGGAAGUUCCAUGAUCAGGAGAUCAUCAUAUUGAUAGGAGAGUGAAUUUGUUCCUAUUAACUUGCCAAUACAUCAAGGG
RNAcentral lists this long non-coding RNA (214 nucleotides) under Mytilus galloprovincialis (Mediterranean mussel). The record is from RNAcentral. Lineage: Eukaryota; Metazoa; Mollusca; Bivalvia; Mytilida; Mytilidae.